AGAGUGACGUUUUCAACUAAUUAAAUAUUUUUUUUUAUAUUAAUCUAUCACAUUAUGAGUAUAAAAAAAUAUUAUAAUUUACUUAUUAUUGCUGAUAUGGUGCAAGUGUGACACAGUAUACUUUCUCCACUUCUAAGAAUGUCAACAAAUCUAUUUCCGGACAAAUUUUUAAAAAUUCGAAUCCGAAUCCGACCAUCAAAUUCGAAAUUCGAAUCCGAACCCGAAUCCGACGAAUUUUAAAAAUCCAUAUCCAAGCUCGAACCGGAUAAAAAAUUGAAAAUGCGAACCUAAUUCUGAACCCGAGCUUAAAAAUCCAAAUCCAAUUAAUUCUCUUUACAAUAAUUCAAAAUAUAUUACAUCAAAUUCAAAUUUUAAAGUAUAAAUUCAAAUACAACAUCAAAUAUCUAUUAUAUUAUAUAAUAUAAAAUAAUUUCAUGUUCGAAUUGGAUACAAUAAAAAAUUUAUAUUCGAAUCCAAAUCUGUCGGAUUUCUAUUUUUUAUAUUUAUAUUCAAAACUAUAUUUAUUUAACAUCAGAUAAAUUUAUUUUGUUUGGCUUCGAAUCCGAAUAAAAUUUCGAAUGUCUAUGUCCAUUCACAUACCUUUCCACUUCCAUGUACUUAUUGUCAUAUUCUUUCUGUUUCUCCGCCAACCUUU
RNAcentral lists this long non-coding RNA (655 nucleotides) under Ananas comosus (pineapple). RNAcentral's name for it is "long non-coding RNA (ACOM_LNC024355)". The record is from RNAcentral. Lineage: Eukaryota; Viridiplantae; Streptophyta; Magnoliopsida; Poales; Bromeliaceae.